Molecule: long non-coding RNA, 858 nt
Filed under: Olea europaea (common olive)
Lineage: Eukaryota; Viridiplantae; Streptophyta; Magnoliopsida; Lamiales; Oleaceae
Description: long non-coding RNA (OEUR_LNC004782)
Source: RNAcentral
AACCUCCAACUUUGAAGGAAUAUUGUGUUCUACAGAGAAUAAAUGCUCCACUUUAGGGUCUUGAUGGUGGACGAUGAUUUCCAAUUGGAUUUGGUCCAGAUGGUGUUUUACAAUUUUUCUUGCUUUUUCCCUCCUCGAUGCCAUUUUCCUGUCGGUAAAACACGAGUCAUGAAUCACCAUUUUAUCACCUUAGAUAAAAACAAUACUUGGACUGUAAAUGAAGGAUAGAACUUGCUUGUACUCUUACCGAAGUUCUCACAAUGUGUCCAGCUGCUAUCCUCGUGCUGUAAAAUUCUGCAGGUUUGAUCUUCAAACCAACUGUUGUGAGGAUUUAGAAGGUAGAGGCUUCAUUAAAAACUUGAAUUUUUAAGAACCAAAUAAUUAAUUUGAUUUAAUGGUAAGCAUUAUUAAGGUAGUUGAACUACAUCAUCAAAAAACUUGAGCCAUUAGACAUGCUCUCAACAUGCACAAUCUUUUGUACGUGGACGGGAAGAAACUUGAAGCUAGAAAAAUUGUUUGUUCUGACACAUGUUAAACUACCUCAUUUAAAAGCUUAAACUGUUUGAUUGAGGAAUAUUCCUUGUAGACAUGCUUUUAAGUUUAAAAAUGCUAGAGCACGACAUUUAACUUAAGCAUGUUGAUUGCAAAUGUACUACCACAACAAGUAUAUUUAAGCAUGUCAUCUCAAAUUAUGAGAAAUAUAGUAGCUUGCCUGAUUCGGUUGGUCGACUGACACGACUAAUAGCCUGAUGCUGUUGAAAUGCUGCUGAGAUAAGCCAUGCAAGGAGAAGAUAGAGUAGAAUCCGAGUUCUUAUCAUCUUAAACACAAGCCUGGGAAAGGAGAUUUGUAAGCAGAAG